CAAAUGUAUGUUGUGUUCAUUGAAUAUCCAUUGAAGGCUACUUGAAUUGAUUUGCAAUUAUGUGAAUUGUAUGUGAAACUCUUUACUUGUAUGGUUAUUCUAAAGUUGUCCCUAGUCGGAGUUCAUGUGAGGACACACAUGAAUAUUAGACUAGCACAUGUAUUAGUUGAUGACUAUGUUUCACAAGUCAUGGACAUGGAGAUGUUGAACUAAUAAUGUGGACACAUGUGGAGACAUGUGCUAGGACUGACCCAACACGAGAAGUAGUUCUCUCUUUAAACAACAUAUAUGCUUUGUCCUUAGACCUGAGAUUGUCGCAUGUAUUCUAGAUGUGGAUCGACCUACAGUGGGGCUAUCAAACGCUACGCCGUAACAGGGUAGUUAUAAAGGUAGUUUUCGGGUUUGUCAAGAAGCAUGCUAUGAGACAUGGUCAAUCAAGAUGGGAUUUGCCCCUCUCUGAUUGAGAGUGAUAUCUCUGGGCCCCUCGAGUGAUCGGAUCCGAAAAUGCAUGGCCAUGCUACGUACGGUUAAGAGUUAACCUACAAAGGGAUUCCGAAUCACAGGAUCGAGAAAGAGCGGUCGGCUUGAAGCUAGACCAAAUAUCGUGAGGCAAAGGGAAUAGCAUGUAUAUUAUGUUGUGAUGGUUCGUCUGAUAUGAUCUUCGUGUGCGUAUAGGAGUUGGCACGUCUUGCUAGAGGCCGCUACCGACUAUUGGGCCGAGUAGGAGUACUCGGGCCAUGUCUAUACGUAUCCGAACCCAUAGGGUCACACACUUAAGGGGCUAGAAGCCCAAUUCGGAUCUGAUCCGAGUUGGAUUAGGUUUAGAAGUACUAAUGGGCCUCGGAUCUAGAGGCCCGUCAGGAACCUCUAUAAAUAGAGGGGUGGGGGCGCCCUAGGGUUGACACCUUUUGGCGAAACACACCUGCCGCGCCUCCCACGCCCUCGCCUGUUGCAACUCGCGGAUCUAGCAGUCCGGCUUGCGACGCUUCCUCCCUGCACGUGUGGAUACCUUGGAGGUGUUGCGCCUGCAGCACUUGGACGAGCCAUCGACGAGCCGCCGACGAGCCACGACGAGCCGACGACGAGCCGCGGCGCUAGAGGCGAUCUUGCUGCACGUGGACGAGCUGCUGAGGAGCUGCUGGACGUGAUCGACUACGUACGACUACGUUGAUUGACUACGUACGACUACGUGAUCGUCUUCACUGCAUCGACGCAUAUCUACAUCUUCCGCACCAGUAGUGCGUCGAGUGGUAAUCCCGUGAUCCUUAUACGGCAGUUCUUCCUGGUUAUACGCGGUAGAAAUUUUGAUUUGCGCUAGCGUAGCCUACCUCGUAUCCCAACAGUGGUAUCAGAGCUGUAGCUGCUUAGUUUUGGAUUCGGGAUGUGUGCAUAUGGAGAUAUGCGAGUUUUCCGUUUGAUCUAUGUCCUGUUUUCGUGCCCUUGCUGCAAUGGUAGUGUAACGACAUACUCCUACCGGUCGGUUUCCGCCAUCGGAGUUAAGUGAUACACGUAAAUCCAGUUGCAGUGAGGGAAGAUCAAUAUGAUUGGUCAAAUCGAAAUCCAGGGUCAUACGCCAGGCGCAUUAGAUGUGCAAUAGUAGAUGGGAUCUACUGCCGGGGUCGGGAUUUUUGCCGUAUGCGUAUGCUUCGGUAAAUCAGCCGUAACUUUUCGGUACGAUCUCGGAAUGGGGCGAAUUUUAUAUGAAAAUUGAUCUACAGAAAAAGUUACACAUGAAUUUCAACCGCUUUGCCGUUUUCGGCGAAAUUAGAUUUCCCAAAUUCAGCUUGGAAGAUAGAGUUUCGGGCCUCCGAAGUUUGGAACGUUAGGACGCCUAACUCUGUUUUGCAGGAUGUAUGUAUCUUGUGAUCAGUAUGGCCCCCUUGUGUAUGUGAUGCAUGUGUGUAACUCAUUCGUGACCUGCGUGUCGCGCGUACGGCAACACGGCAGGAGCCAUAUGUAUUUUCACUUUAUUGUAUUUAAAGGUCUGCGUACCAAUCUGUGAUGAUCCAAGCAACUAUGUAAUCUUCAUUACUAGAUUCUUUACUAGCUAUUAGGUGUAAUAGCAUGCUCUAGUUCUUGGAGGACUCAUCACCAGGAGGAUGGCGCACAUGGAACAUGGAGAUGGAGAUCACCAUGGUGAACAGGUUCUAUGGAGAUGGAGAUCACCAUAUGAAAACGGGCCAUACUGUGUCACAAGCUGUGUGAAUGCUAUUCUGUUUAUGUUUUACUUUCUGCAUGCUGUGAUGUUAGAAGUAGAACGAUCGCUCACAAAGUUUAAGUUAGUAUGCCCUCCCAACUAAAACUUGCACCGUCCCAUGUCUUGUACAAUUAGUGGUGGGUCUAUGAAAUUAGGGUGCCACUAGUUUUCCUUGACUAGACGGGUUUGUGUCGGACACUUACACGCAUAAGGGUUGGUUUGCUUAACAAGGUUAUCUUAACGGUUAAGGACCUUGGGGCAUAAAGGUUGGGCGCCGAGACAUCGAGAUGUCACCCAACAACAGGAGUCAUAUGUGAUAUGAUUAGCAAAAGUUGCUUACCGAUCUACCUUGUUUGCUAGCGGUGAUGCUAAAGCUCACUAGUGGACUUGUUAGUUGUGGAUCCUGAAUCACUAAGUUUCAAUAGAGGGAUAUUGAUUUUAGUGGGAGUAGAUUCUGUUAAAAUAGUUUAAUGUGAUUUGCUCUAUCAUGGAUACGUUUGUCUUAGUGUAUUUUGCAUUACUUUUGUUGUAGAUUAAAUGGCACCUAGCAACACCACCACAUCGUUUGCUUUGCGUUUGGUCCUUGAGAAGGACAAGUUGAAUGGAACAAACUACUCAGAUUGGAUCCGUAACUUGAGAAUUGUUCUCAGGGCUGAGAAAAAGGAAGAUGUUCUAGACAACCCACUACCAGAAGAACCUGCUGAUGAUGCACCCGCUGCUGCUAAGAAUGCUUACAAGAAAGCAUGUGAUGCUAACCUCGAAGUAAGCUGCCUUAUGCUUGCUUGCAUGGAACCCGAGCUGCAGAUGCAGUUCGAAACAAACCAUGAGGCGCACGAUAUGAUCGUGGCGCUUAGAGACAUGUUCCAAACACAGGCCAGGACUGAAAGGUUCAAUGUGUCUAAGGCCUUUGUUGAGAGCAAGCUAGCAGAAGGCGCAGCAGUAGGACCACACGUAAUCAAGAUGGUUGGUUACACUCAAUGGUUGGAGAAGCUAGGCUUCCCACUGGGCCAAGAGUUGGCCACUGAUUUCAUUCUUUCCUCUCUUCCGCCUAGCUAUGGGAACUUCAUCUCGAACUACCAUAUGCAUGGGACGAAGAAGGGAUUGAAUGAGCUGUGUGGUAUGCUCAAGACAGCAGAGGCUGACAUCAAGAAAAGCGCUAGUACCAGCCAUGUGAUGGCGAUACAGAACAAGUCCAGCUUUAAGAAGAAGGGCAAUUCUUGGAAGAAGAAGGGCAAGGCUGGAACGUCCAAGCCAAACCCACCGCCCAAGGUUAAAGCUGGACCUGGACCUGCUCCAGACAAAGAGUGCUUUUACUGUCAUGAACUUGGUCACUGGAAGAGAAACUGCAAGCAGUACCUAGCUUCCUUGAAGAAUGGCGGAAGUAAGAGUACUUCUACCUCAGGUACGCUUGUUGUUAAUGUUAUAGACAACAUAUUUCUCGCUGAUACAAUUAUUAAUUCUUGGGUAUUUGAUACCGGAUCGGUUGCUCAUAUUUGCAAUUCGAUGUAGGGAAUGAUAAGAAGUAGAAGCGUGGAAAGAGGAGAAGUUGAUUUCUGCGUGGGCAAUAAUGCAAGAGUUGCUGCUUUGACCGUCGGGACGAUGCAACUCCACCUCCCGUCAGGAUUUAUUAUAGAGUUGAAUAAUUGUUAUUUCGUUCCUAGUUUAAGUCGAAACAUUUUAUCUCCUUCAUGCUUGAUGAAGGAUGGUUAUUCAUUUGCGAGUGAAAACAAUGGUUGUGUGAUCUCUAAGAAUAAUAUGUUUAUGGCUUUUGCACCCAUUGUGAAUGGAUUAUUUGUUUUAAAUCUUGAUGAUUCACCUGUCUGUAAUGUAAGUGCUAAAAGGCCUCGGCCUAAUGAUUUGAGUCCUACCUACUUGUGGCAUUGUCGUUUGGGUCAUAUAAGUGAAAAGCGCAUGAAGAAGCUCCAUUCUGAUGGACUUCUAACUUCGUUUGAUUUUGAAUCAUACGAGACAUGUGAGGCUUGCUUGCUAGGCAAGAUGACCAAGACGCCUUUCACAGGAUUUCCUGAGAGAGCAGUAGACUUGUUGGAACUCGUACAUAGUUAUGUAUGCGGACCAAUGAGCACGACGGCUAGAGGAGGAUUCCAAUACUUCAUAACUUUCACUGAUGAUUUUAGUAGAUAUGGCUAUGUCUACUUGAUGAGGCACAAGUCUGAAACCUUUGAAAAGUUCAAGGAAUUUCAUAAUGAAGUUGAAAAUCAGCGUGGCAAGAAAAUUAAGGCCUUACGAUCUGAUCGUGGAGGCGAGUAUUUGAGCCACGAGUUUAGCAAUCAUCUAAAGAGUUGCGGAAUUGUUCCACAACUUACGCCGCCCGGAACACCUCAGAGAAACGGUGUGUCCGAGCGACGUAAUCGAGCUUUGUUAGACAUGGUUCGAUCAAUGAUGAGCCAGUCGGACCUACCGUUGUCAUUUUGGCGAUACGCUCUAGAAACAGCAGCUUUCACACUUAAUAGGGUACCAUCUAAAUCCGUAGUUAAGACACCAUAUGAGAUAUGGACUGGAAAGGUUCCUAGUUUGUCUUUUCUAAAGAUUUGGGGAUGUGAAGUGUUUGUCAAGCGACUUCAGUCGGACAAGAUCACACCCAAGUCGGAUAAGUGCAUUUUUGUGGGAUAUCCAAAGGAAACUUUGGGAUAUUAUUUCUACAACCGAUCAGAAGGCAAAGUGUUUGUCGCUCGGAACGGGGUUUUCCUAGAGAAAGAGUUUCUCAAAGGAGAAAAGAGUGGAAAGACAGUGCAUCUUGAAGAAGUUCAAGAUGAGCCGAUCGGGCAAGAAUCAAUGAGUGAUGCUAACGUAGCAGAACAAGUUGAGAUACCCAUGGCAAGAGAAACACCACCAUAACCACGAAGGUCGGCAAGGCUCCGCGAAAUGCGGGAAAUAUUAUUGUUGGACAAUGAUGAGCCUGCGACAUAUGCAGAAGCAAUGAUGGACCCAGACUCCGAAAAAUGGCAGAAUGCCAUGCAAUCCGAAAUAGAGUCCAUGGGAGACAAUCAAGUUUGGAACUUGGUUGACCCGCCUGAUGGUGUUAAAGCCAUAGAGUGCAAGUGGAUCUAUAAGAAGAAAAAGGACAUGGAUGGAAAUGUUCACAUCUAUAAAGCACGACUUGUCGCAAAAGGUUUUCGACAAGUUCAAGGAGUUGACUACGACGAGACCUUCUCACCCGUAGUGAUGCUUAAGUCCAUUCGGAUUAUUCUAGCUAUAGCUGCAUAUUUCGAUUAUGAGAUAUGGCAGAUGGAUGUCAAGACAGCUUUCCUGAAUGGAAACCUAACUGAGGACGUGUAUAUGAUACAGCCCGAGGGUUUUGUCGAUCCGAAAAAUGCUGGAAAGGUAUGCAAGCUUCAGAGAUCCAUUUAUGGAUUGAAGCAAGCAUCUAGGAGUUGGAACAUUCGUUUUGAUGAAGUGGUCAAAGGGUUUGACUUCACCAAGAACGAAGAAGAGUCUUGUGUUUACAAGAAGGUUAGUGGGAGCUCUGUAGUAUUUCUAAUCUUAUAUGUGGAUGACAUAUUACUGAUUGGAAAUAACAUUCCUAUGCUUGAGUCCAUAAAGACUUCACUGAAAAAUAGUUUUUCAAUGAAGGACUUAGGGGAAGCGGCAUAUAUUCUGGGCAUUAAGAUCUAUAGAGAUAGAUCGAGAAGGCUUAUAGGUUUGAGCCAAGAUACUUACAUUGACAAAGUGUUGAAGCGGUUCAGCAUGGAAGAGGCAAAGAAAGGGUUCUUGCCUAUGUCACAUGGCAUACAUCUCAGCAAGACUCAGUGUCCUUUGACUGCUGAUGAGCGGGAUCGCAUGAGUAGAGUGCCAUACGCCUCGGCUAUUGGAUCUAUCAUGUAUGCAAUGAUAAGUACUCGCCCAGAUGUUUCAUAUGCACUAAGUAUGACAAGCAGACACCAAUCUGAUCCAGGUAAGAGUCACUGGACAGCGGUGAAAAACAUUCUUAAGUACUUGAGAAGGACUAAAGAUAUGUUCCUCGUCUAUGGAGGUGAGGAGGAGCUCGUUGUAACAGGUUACACCGAUGCUAGUUUCCAAACCGACAGAGAUGAUUCAAAGUCACAAUCAGGAUUUGUGUUCACGCUAAAUGGUGGUGCUGUAAGUUGGAAGAGUUCCAAGCAGGAGACGGUGGCCGAUUCUACGACAGAAGCCGAGUACAUCGCGGCUUCGGAAGCCGCAAAGGAAGGUGUUUGGAUAAGGAAUUUCCUCAUUGAGCUUGGUGUGUUCCCGAAUGCGUCCAGCCCAUUGAAUCUCUACUGUGAUAACAAUGGGGCAAUUGCGCAAGCAAAGGAGCCAAGGAACCACCAGAAGAACAAACACGUAAUGCGGCGAUUUCAUCUGAUUCGAGACUUCGUUAACCGGGGUGAGAUCAAGAUAUGCAAAAUACACACGGAUCUGAACAUUUCUGAUCCGUUGACAAAACCACUCCCACAGGCUAAGCAUGAUGCGCAUGCAAGAGCUAUGAGUAUUAGGUACCUUCUAGAUUGACUCUAGUGCAAGUGGGAGACUGUUGGAGGUAUGCCCUAGAGGCAAUCAUAGAGAUGAUGAUAUUCCAUUUGUAUCCAUGAUUUGUAUGUUGUGUUCAUUGAAUAUCCAUUGAAGGCUACUUGAAUUGAUUUGCAAUUAUGUGAAUUGUAUGUGAAACUCUUUACUUGUAUGGUUAUUCUAAAGUUGUCCCUAGUCGGAGUUCAUGUGAGGACACACAUGAAUAUUAGACUAGCACAUGUAUUAGUUGAUGACUAUGUUUCACAAGUCAUGGACAUGGAGAUGUUGAACUAAUAAUGUGGACACAUGUGGAGACAUGUGCUAGGACUGACCCAACACGAGAAGUAGUUCUCUCUUUAAACAACAUAUACGCUUUGUCCUUAGACCUGAGAUUGUCGCAUGUAUUCCAGAUGUGGAUCGACCUACAGUGGGGCUAUCAAACGCUACGCCGUAACAGGGUAGUUAUAAAGGUAGUUUUCGGGUUUGUCAAGAAGCAUGCUAUGAGACAUGGUCAAUCAAGAUGGGAUUUGCCCCUCUCUGAUUGAGAGUGAUAUCUCUGGGCCCCUCGAGUGAUCGGAUCCGAAAAUGCAUGGCCAUGCUACGUACGGUUAAGAGUUAACCUACAAAGGGAUUCCGAAUCACAGGAUCGAGAAAGAGCGGUCGGCUUGAAGCUAGACCAAAUAUCGUGAGGCAAAGGGAAUAGCAUGUAUAUUAUGUUGUGAUGGUUCGUCUGAUAUGAUCUUCGUGUGCGUAUAGGAGUUGGCACGUCUUGCUAGAGGCCGCUACCGACUAUUGGGCCGAGUAGGAGUACUCGGGCCAUGUCUAUACGUAUCCGAACCCAUAGGGUCACACACUUAAGGGGCUGGAAGCCCAAUUCGGAUCUGAUCCGAGUUGGAUUAGGUUUAGAAGUACUAAUGGGCCUCGGAUCCAGAGGCCCGUCAGGAACCUCUAUAAAUAGAGGGGUGGGGGCGCCCUAGGGUUGACACCUUUUGACGAAACACACCUGCCGCACCUCCCACGCCCUCGCCUGUUGCAACUCGCGGAUCUAGCAGUCCGGCUUGCGACGCUUCCUCCCUGCACGUGUGGAUACCUUGGAGGUGUUGCGCCUGCAGCACUUGGACGAGCCAUCGACGAGCCGCCGACGAGCCACGACGAGCCGACGACGAGCCGCGGCGCUGGAGGCGAUCUUGCUGCACGUGGACGAGCUGCUGAGGAGCUGCUGGACGUGAUCGACUACGUACGACUACGUUGAUCGACUACGUACGACUACGUGAUCGUCUUCACUGCAUCGACGCAUAUCUACAUCUUCCGCACCAGUAGUGCGUCGAGUGGUAAUCCCAUGAUCCUUAUACGGCAGUUCUUCCUGGUUAUACGCGGUAGAAAUUUUGAUUUGCGCUAGCGUAGCCUACCUCGUAUCCCAACAGGGACAAGCUCUACAGAAAAAGCGCAUCAUCAGGGGUACUCAUGAAAUGUGUUAUCCGAGAAGAAGGCCAAUAAAUCUUAGAAGAAAUACACAAAGGAAUCUGUGGUAAUCAUGCCUCUUCACGAACAAUCGUAGGCAAAGCUUUCAGAGGAGGCUUUUACUGGCCCAUGGCAUUGGCCGAUGCAAAACAAUUGGUCCGCAAAUGCCAAGGCUGCCAGUUCUUCACUAAGCAACAACACGUCCCCGCCUACAAACUCAUCACGAUCCCUCCAACAUGGCCUUUCGCUUGCUAGGGGCUACAUAUGAUAGGACCACUACCAACUGCGCUAGGAGGUUCGAAUCGAGUACUCGUAGCCAUCGACAAAUUCACCAAAUGGAUCGAAGUCAAACCCGUCACUUGCCCAAAGGCAAACCGAGUCCUUGACUUCCUGGACGAAAUCAUACAUCGCUACGGUUUCUCGAACAGGAUAAUCACCGAGCUGGGAUCCAACUUCAACAACCACGAUUUCUGGGAAUAUUGCGAGAAUAAUGGAAUUGACAUACGAUACAUCUCGGUUGCUCACCAAAGGGCCAACGGACAAGUCGAACGUGCCAACGGCAUGAUACUUGAAGCACUCAAGAAAAGGCUACGCGAAGUCGGUAACACAAGAGGAGGCAAAUGGCUCAAAGAACUACCUAAUGUCCUAUGGGGACUACGAACCCAACCAUGCAAGUCUACCGGGUUCUCCCCCUAUUUCCUUGUAUAUGGGUCAGAGGCUAUCCUCCUUGUAGAUGUCAUGCGGCAGUCUCCUGCAGUCGAACAAUAUGACGAAGGAAUAGCAAAAGAAACAAGACGCUUAGAUCUGGAUAGUCUGGAAGAAACGAGAUGUGCAGCCCUAAUUCAAUCAGCCAGAUACCUCGACGGUUUAAGACGCUACCAAGACCGCAAUAUUAAAGAGCGAUCCUUCAACUUAGGCGACAUGGUCCUCAAACGAAUCCAGGACACAUCAGGGUUGCACAAGCUCAACUCGCCAUGGGAAGGUCCCUACAUUGUAGCCAAGGUCAUAGGACCUGGAUCAUACAGACUACAAGAACUCUCAGGUGAACAAAUACCAAAUUCCUGGAAUAUAGAACAUCUCUGCCGCUACUACCCGUAGUAGACCACAGAGCAUGUACUCGGGCCUUCGCCCCAAGUUUUUCAAAUAAACACCUAUUCUCAGCCACUCGUGGUCUCCAGCCCGAUGAGCCCCAGCGCUCCGCUCUCCGACUUGAUUUCAUCAAAAUCCCUACGAGUCACUAUGGGCUAUUCACAGUUACUCGAGCUCUCCGGCUCUGCGAGCCCCCAUGCUCUACUCUCGACCCAUGACUUGAUUUCAUCAAGUCUCCGAGUCAUCAACAACCCGCAGAAAAAUACCGACAGGUACCUAAGCUCCAGUACGAGUACUCAACUCAACUUUAGAAGACUAAAGCAGUUUUUUUGCAAAGAACCAUGACUGCAUCAUUUAGUCGUUCUUUACUCAAGAAAAGACCGACACAAUCAUCAAAUAACUAACUCAAGAUUGCUUUGAAUAGGAUAAUUUCUGAAGUUACAUACAAUUACUCAAAACAGAGUCAGGGUACUCAAAAUACAAUAGCACAACAAAGACUACAAGCACCUGCCUACUGGUAGUCUGCACAUAAGCCCCAGGCUUUUAUUAUCUCACAAGGAUACACAGGCCUAGCGACUACUAAAACAACAAGGUGUAAACAGCGUCAAAAGGUAGGGCCCGCACGCAAGGAAGCUACAUAGUACGCAACCAUAUCCUGGUCCUCCUCCUAAACAACACCAGGAACUCCUUCACCGCCGCUCCCUCGACAACGGCAAUGAUGAAUCCCCGAUGCAGCAUAAAGGAGAAAAGGAACCAAGACUGCUCCCUUGCUAGCUUCGGCGCAUCAUCCCACACUGCAUGCCACACCUCCACCUCUGAUCAGAGAGCCGGAUAAAGACCACGGCACUCAUCACCCAUCACUCGCGAGUUCCAGCACAGACUUAGCUGGAUCACAAGCUGCAAGAUGAGGCACAUGAGAAACCCUCCUAUGAGGAUUCUUCUAGCAUCGCGGCUAUCCCUACGAGUGCAAGAGUAUGUGGAGGGAAGGUGGCUCUAAUCUACGAGGAAUCUUCUAGCACCAGGGCACUCUUUGAAAGCUUUCUACAAUCAAAUAACAGCAAUCUAAAGCAAUCCAUUACUACUCCGGAGAAGCAUGGCCUUGGUCGACCCCCCCCCAGUGGUCUAUUUAUAGCCAAGCGCCACAACCACUACCUACUCGGAAGUUACUGUCCACUCGUGAUGACAAGCCUUAAAGCACUGACAAGAGUCAGCCAGACACUUUCUGACCCCACUCACGUGAAGGCAUUCAACCGCAAAAAACAAAAGUGAACAGUUCGCCCGUGCAGCCCUCUUAAAAGUGAAGAAAAAAGUCAGAGUACUUUCAACAGCAACACCAAUAAUUGACGUCCGCGGCAGACAAUACAACCACUCGGCUAAACUUAGACUUGCUCCCCCGACUACAAAGAUUAGCCAAGACAAGAUCAUUCAUCACAAUUCAGACCAAAUAAAAUUCAGAAAUCGUCUCAAGUACUCCAACAAAGUACUCGACAAGUCACAACUCGAAAGCUACACAAGACUAAGGCUCUUCCAAAGAUACAAAUUCAGCCAUCUUCAAAGAGAUUGACUCAACCUCCUCGAGAUACUGCACAUAAGCAUCCUCUGUGCAGUUUCGAGCAACACCGUCACCAGCCACCGUCAAUUCUGCCUUCGGGUAAUAUGACUUGACUACCGCAAGGACUUAUUUACAAACAGCCUUGCAGAGGCUAGCAACCUUACCCAGAGCAGUCUUCAGCCGUUCGUCUAGUGAGCAUCAUCUUCAAGCAGAGUGAUGGCAUUAACUAAGUCAUGCGCAGCACUAGUCAAUUCUUGGAGCUUGCCUCGAAGCCUUCCGAUGGUCCUACCAUGGUCUCUACAGGCCACCAUGGCCAUAGCAAGCAUAACUCCAUUUUGAUUUUUUCUAUCCCUCUGAUGCUCACAUGCAGCCUGAGCCUCAGCCAGCGAUGCCCGAAGAUGGUCAGCCUCAUCGGCUACUCAGUCAUGAGCAUUCCUCCAGUCAAGAAGUUGGCUACUCACAGCAGCCUCUUUUCUCUUGAGCUCUACGCCAAAGUACCACAGAUCAGAACGCACGACAAUAGUCAAAUAUACUCAAGGAUCAUGAGUACUCACCUUGAUACUUCUUGUUCAAGGAUUUAUAGCGAUUCUCCAAUAGCUCUUGCAGGACUUCAUGGUCCCUCCGCUCUAUCGCAAAAGACUUUGCAGCCUCCUCAUGAACUCUUAAGGACUCUGUAAGACAGCUACAUUCUUGCUCCAGUUGCGCCACUCGUUGCACAAUGUCAUUUUGCUCCUAGAGGGCCCGGGAAUUCCUUUGGGCUCUAUCAUACAGGUCCUGCAAGAAAAAGCAAGUCGUCAAGAUUCGGCAAAAUACAGUCAGUCAAAGUACAAUAAGAUCACACACCUCAAAGCUCUGGAUAGCUCUUCAAAACUCUGACUCCGACGGCAGCUUGAGCACUGGACCCUCGAUAUUCUUAGCAAUCUAAGGCUUCGAAGCUCCACCCAAAACAGCCCCUGAAAAACAAAACUUAUGAGUCAUUAUAGGAUACAAUACAUUGACUUCAAAAAAGCACCCGUACUCCGACUACAUACCCAGUGCGCCAACCUCAUCCACUUUAGUCGUAUCAACUAAAGCCAAGGUACCACCAACAGUCAUUGAAGACGGCACACCCCCAGAACUCGAAGGGACUGCAGGGAUCUCCACUGAGCGGAUAACUUCUUGAAGCAUGGAGAUAGUGGCACCAAGACGAUUUGUGUCCUCAACCUCGGGUGCGUCAUCCAUCGAUAAAUCAACUAAGGGACCAGAAAGUGUAGUCGGAAGACCAGACUCCACUCCUGUGUCCACAGGAAUGGUAUCCUCAGCAUCCCUGGAUCCAAACACGAGGUCAUCACCCGUUCUUUGGAAGUUCAAAAAUUUACACAAAACUCACCGAGAUGACCGCAACGGCAAUCGCACACGUUUCUUCUCAAUUACUGCCGGUUGAGUACUUGGCACCACAGGGUCAGUCGGAGGUAUGAUAUUCUCACCAAGUCCUGAAAAAAUCAAGGAUGAGACUGUGAAACUUCAGACUACCAAAUAAUCAAAAAACUCACCACUGGCGAUAACAUCGGAUAACAAAGCACCAGCAGCAACCACCGGUGCCUUCGUGACGUCAGUCACCUCAGAAGAUGCACCCACGAUAGCCUGUUCGGGGACUGCCAACUCGGUAACUGACUGCGCCAGGGCUGCAGGCUCAGAAACUCCUCUCAAGUUUACAAGCGGCACCCCUACCAUCAACUCUUCAAUAGCUGCGACACUGACAACAGCGUCCUUAGCAAUACCGACUACCUCACCAGAAGUAGCCUCAUCGCUGCCCGCAGUCGAGUCGUCGGCCUUCCCAAAUCGACUUAAAUCAUCAGCAUUCCAAGACAAUUUUCCAAAAAUUACCUAAUACAACGACUACGUACCUUGGUACUCUACGACCCUCAGGGGUCAAACUCGACGACGAAAUAGCCUGCACAAUAGCUUUCUUUCGAACCACCUGUCGUUUCUUAGCAGGAGGAGAAGGUUCAUCAUCAGUGUCAGCCACAACAAUUUCCCUGCCCUCAAGCUGCAAGAAGCCGAAAAGCACCCAUGACUGCAAACAACAAUUGUUACUCGAAGAUAUUGCCAUACCUCAAAAUACACAAAUCAAGCAAAAGAACAUACCUCUGUUGGUCUAUACCAACUAUCAAACUGACGAAGAACUCCUGGAAGCACUGGUACCUCCUGAUAGUUCCUAAAAAACUUCCCCAGCAACGCCUCCACAUCAUCAUCAAAUAUGUCAUCAGGGGACAUCCAUGACGGGUCAUCAAAAACCGAGUACUCCGAGCCUAAGUGAGCUCGUUGCUACAAAGGCUGAACCCUCCGCCUAAGAAAACUGACGGCCACAUUGAUGCCAGUCAAAGCCCAACGAUCUCAACUCGGCAAUCUGAAUCAGCAAGUUAGCAAUUUCAGGGGUGCCCUCAGGCUCGCUCACACAAUUAUCCGCGUGCUUCAGAGCGUGACCAGUGACCACUGGCAGAAUGGGAUCAUGAUUCCCAACAUAAAACCAUCUUUUCUUCCAAUCGCCAUAAGAGUCAAGUAAGUCAUACUUGAGAUAAGCACUCGAGUUCCUCAGCUGAAACCCAGCCCCUCCAAAAACCUCUAUUCUAGUCACACUAGGCUGCGGAUUACAGUGAAACAACUUUCUAAAAAGCUCAAGACUAGGAGGGACACCCAAGUACACUUCGCACAAGUGUACAAAGAUAUCCAUAUGGAGCAUGCCAUUAGGAUUCAAGUGAACUAACAGAAGAUUGUAGUACUCCAGAAUACCUCUGAAGAAGUCGGAGGUGGGCACUGUCAGUCCCUUCUCGACGAAGUUUGCAAGCAUGACCAUCUCCUUCGGAUACUCCUCAAACUGCCACGCAAUGCCAAAAGCAGGCCUCCACUCGAGUUCAAGCUUCGACGGAAGAAGCUUAGCAUCAACCAAAGCCUGAACCGCUGGUUCCUUCGUCACAAAGUGCUGCCAGGUGAACCCAGGUGGCAGCGGCGCAAUUUUGUUUGUUGGGCCACACUUCGGCACCGGCAGCGCGAGCUCUUCCCCUUUUUGGAUUUAGAUCUCACCUUACUAGCGGCCGCAGCCUGCCCUUGGGUUUUUUCCGGUUUCUUCCCCAUCUUCUUGACGCGCAUCAGCCAGCCUCGGGAAAAGUGAAGAAGAGAAGGAUCGGCAGCAGAUCUUACUCAAGGGCAAGGAGAGAGCAACAAUGGCGGCGGCGGCACAGGAAAGGGCGGCGGCUCAAAGAUGAAUAGGAAAGAGGUGCACAAAAUAGAUCUGCUAAAAAAGAACAUACCGCUAACCACCAACGGGCCUGCCCUGUUAUAUCUCCAUCACCUCCGGAUUCCAAGUGUCAAUUAAACAAUGGUCAGAUAUAAAUCGGAUUUAUCACCACAAUACCCAAUAGAUACUCUGACCAAGAGGUUUGACCACUUCAUCGACUACAAAUAAUCGCCUAAGUGCUCGGGGGCUGUGGAUACCGUACCCGCUGGACAAAGUUUUCUUUUUUCUGAAGACUACUAAAGCCAAAAAACAAACACAGGAUUGACCCUCAGCCUGAUUCUUCGAUUCAACCUAAGGCUCGGGGGCUACUCCAUAUGGAGUGCGAUUGUCAUCACACUGCAAUACAAUAUCUCCAAGGCAAAAGUGACUCGAAGCAACGAUAGGCGAAGAGUACCUUCCAGCCAUGUGACAGUACUCGAGUACUCGAAGACCAUGCCAAGCACUCAGUAAGAGUCAGGAUUUACUCCGAUAAACGACUUCUGAGUACUCAGAACUGUUCCACUUGACUACAAAGUACUCGGGGGCUUGUCGGGCAUACAUCCCCAGGCCCACAAGUAGGCCCUGUACGGCCCACUUAGGGGCGUACUCGAACGUGAUCAGGGCUCAGGGGCUACGCGGCAGGGAAGCGUGGCCCACUCGGACUCCUGAAGACUAGUUGGAAUACGUAAGGAAACUACUCUGUCUAGGCCGAGUAGGACUCUGUAACCGUACCCGACUAGGUUUCUACCCUGUAACCCUGCUCCCCUAAUCAUAUAAGGGUGGGCAGGGACCCCCUCCAAACACCUCAUCUAAGUUCAAUACAAUCAACACACAGGACGUAGGGUAUUACGCGAUCUAGCGGCCCGAACCCAUCUAAAUCGUGUUCCUUGCGUCACCAUCGACUCCUUGAUUCUCAACGACACCCAGCGCACAAAAGACCACUUAGGGUACCCCCUAGGCGGGUUGCCGGUCUAAAAUACCGACAACUGCGCUCCUGAAGAGCCCGAGUAUUUUUUUGGGCCUUAUCAUACAGAUCCUACAACAACACAACACAAGCUCUGGAUAGCUCUCUUGAUCUCCGACUCUGGUGGAAGCUCGAGUAUCGGAUCCCCAGUGCUCUUGGCGACUUGAGGUUGCAGCACUUUACUCACAAUAGACCCUGAUAAGAAAAAAUCACGGUUAGCUACUAGGUAUAAGGGAGCUCCCCUUUAAAAGCAUCUCUACUCUAGUAACAUACCUGUUGCGCCGACUUCGCCUACUCCUGUCGCAACAACCAGUGCCAAGCCAUCUGCACCAGCCGCGCUCACAAUCGAUGCAACUUCAGCCGUAAGGACCUUCAUUGAGCGGAUGACCUCCUGCAGCAUAUUCAUGGUAGCACCCACAAGACUUUUGUCUUCGAUCUUAGGAGCAUCAUCAUAAGUCAAGUCGACUAUGGGCUCAGAAAUGGUAGUUGACGGACCAACCUCAACCUCCGCCUCCACCUCGACAGGAAUAAUGCCUUCGGCAUCCCUGGAUCGAUCAAGUCACAAGAUUAUCAUCCGAUCUGCGAGUACAAAAAUCAUCAAAUAAAGGAAAAGACUACACAAGUCCUUAUCAGGCUGAUCGCGGUGGUAGACGAACAUGCCUCUUUUCGACUACCACCAGCUGGAUACUCAGCACUGGCUCCACAGGAGCCACGGGAGGAAAGUCCUCCACUCUUUCGCCAAGUCUUGAAAGAACCAAGGUUGAGACUACGUACACACGACUACCAGAACAGAUCGCGUACUCACCACUAGUAACAUCGUCAGGCAACAAGGCGUCAGCAGCUACUUCCGGUGUCUUCACAGCAUCCUGCACCACAGAAGCCGUGGCCUCAUCACCUGAUGGGUUAGUAGCCUGCCCAGGGGCUCCCAGCUCGGGGGCUGCUGACCCUAAGUUUGACGACACCUCCUCCACGAGCAGCUUUUCAACAGCAGUGACACUUGCAACUGCAUCUCUAGCAAUCGUGACUACUUCAGCAGAAGUAGCCUCGUCAUCACCAAAAGUCAAGUUAGCGACCUUUUCAACAUACAGACUAAUAUCGUCAGUAUUCUUCAAGUAAUAUGACUAAGUCAACAAGAAACUCAAAGUACUCAAAUAGUUUCAACUCACGACUACGUACCUUGGUACCUCGUGACUCAUCGGGGGUCAAGUUUGAAGCAGUCGCAGUAUGCUGAGUAGCAGGUUUCUUCCGCACUACUCGACGUCUCUUAGCCGGAGGAGCAGAAGGCGCAUCUUCAGUUUUACCCUCGGCUACCUCCUUAUCCUCGGAAGGCGUGGUCAAGAAACCAGCUAGCACCUGGGACUACAAACCACAAGACAACAUUGUUACUCGGAAAGUACUACUUGUCAACAAAAUCAACCGACUACAUCUUCGACUACACAAAAUGAACAAAAGAGAAGCAAAAAUACCUCUGUGGGUCCAUACCAACCGUCAAACAGUCGAGGACUCCUGGGAGUACUGGCACUCCUUGAUAGUUCUUGAAGAACUUACCCAACAAUGCCUCCACGUCGUCGUCGGAUACGUCUUCAGGGGACAUACGCGAUGGGUCAUUAAAACCUGUGUACUCGAAGCCCCAAUGAGCACGCUGCUGCAGGGGCUAAACUCUGCGCUUGAGGAAACUAGCGGCUACAUGGAUCCUAGUCAACCCUAAAGUUCUCAACUCGUAAACCUGCACUAACAAGUCGAUGAUCUCACGGGUAUCCUCAGGCUCCGUUACCCAGUUUUCCGCAUGUUUCGGAGCAUGGCCGGUGACUACUGACAAGACAGGAUCAUGGUUGCCAAUAUAAAACCACCUCUUCUUCCAAUCGCCAUGGGAAUCAGGUAGGUCGUACUCGAGAUACACACCCGAGUUUCUCAACUGAAACCCAGCUCCUCCAAAGACUUCUGUUCUAGUCAUGUUGGGUCGUGGUUUACACUGGAAAAAUUUCCUAAACAAGUCCAAACUAGGCAAAACACCCAAGUACACUUCGCACAAGUGUACAAAGAUAGCCAUAUGCAGCACACCAUUCGGAUUCAAAUGGACUAGCUAAAGAUUAUAAUACUCGAGAAUACCUCUGAAGAAGUUAGAGGUAGGCACCAUCAGGCCUCUCUCGACAAAGUGAGCCAGCAUCACUAUCUCCUUAGGGUGUUCUUCGAAUUGCCACGCAUUUCCACAUGCGGGCCUCCACUCAAGCUCCACCUUUGGUUGGAGCAGCUUCGCAUCAACCAAGGCCUAAACCGCUAGCUCCUUCAUCAUAGAAUGCUGCCAGGUGGCCCCAGGAGGUGGCGGCGCAGUCUGGUUCAUCGGGCCACACUUGGGCGCCGGCAACUCAGGCUCCUUGCCCUUCUUGGAUCUGGAUCAUCCCUUCCUGGUGGUUGUGGACUCCCCUAGAUCUUCUUAGGUUUCUUGCCCAUCUUCUUGGUAUGCAUAAACUAAUUUUGAGGAAAAAAGGGGGUGAAGAAGACCACCGCAAUUUCUCUUCAAAGAUUCAGCAGAGCAACAAUGGCAGCGGCGGCACAAACAGAAGCAGCGGCGCUAGGGUUGCAAAGGGGGCGCAAAUUGCAGAUCUGCUGAAACAGCCAUGCCAAUAAUUAGCGCUGGGCCCCCUUAUUAUAUCAGCAACAUUUUCGGGAUCCACCAAUUAAUCUAGCAAUGGUCAGAUACGAUGCAGAUUUACCACCAUAUAGUGUCCAACAGCUACUCUGACCAAGACAUUGAUCCCUUCACCGACUACAAGUAGUCAUCCAAGUGCUCGGGGGCUGCGUAUAUCGUACCCGUUGGAUAAAGUUUUCUUUUUCUGAAGACUAAGAUAAGUCGAAGUGAAAUUACAAGUUUGACCCUCAGCCUGAUUCUUCAAUUCAACCUAAGGCUCGGGGGCUACUCCAUAUGGAGUGCAAUUGUCAUUGCAAUACCAUAUAAAAAAGUUUCAAGACAAAGACUACUCGAAGCAAACAUUGGGAACUGCUAAGGGUACCUUCUAGUCACGCAACAGCUCCAGUACUCAAAGGUUGGCUGCAACGAGAAGUACUCGAGGAGCACCAGAAGGAACUCAGGCGACAUCUUCAAGUACUCGGAACUGUUCCUCUCAACUACAAAGUACUCAGUGUUGGGUUACGAGGUAGGCUACACUAGCGCAAAUCAAAAUUUCAACCGCGUAAAACUAGGAAGAACUGCCGUAUAAGGAUCACGGGAUUACCACUCGACGCACUACUGGUGCGGAAGAUGUAGAUAUGCGUCGAUGCAGUGAAGACGAUCACGUAGUCGUACGUAGUCGAUCAACAUAGUCGUACGUAGUCGAUCACGUCCAGCAGCUCCUCAGCAGCUCGUCCACGUGCAGCAAGAUCGCCUCCGGUACCGCGGCUCGUCGUCGGCUCGUCGUGGCUCGUCGGCGGCUCGUCCAAGUGCUGCAGGCGCAACACCUCCAAGGUAUCCACACGUGCAGGGAGGAAGCGUCGCAAGCCGGACUGCUAGAUCCGCGAGUUGCAACAGGCGAGGGCGUGGGAGGCGCGGCAGGUGUGUUUCGCCAAAAGGUGUAAACCCUAGGGCGCCCCCACCCCUCUAUUUAUAGAGGUUCCUAACGGGCCUCUGGGUCCGAGGCCCAUUAGUACUUCUAAACCUAAUCCAACUCGGAUCAGAUCCGAAUUGGGCUUCCAGCCCCUUAAGUGUGUGACCCUAUGGGUUCGGAUACGUAUAGACAUGGCCCGAGCACUCCUACUCGGCCCAAUAGUCGGUAGCGGCCUCUAGCAAGACGUGCCAACUCCUAUACGCACACGAAGAUCAUAUCAGACGAACCAUCACAACAUAAUAUACAAGCUAUUCCCUUUGCCUCACGAUAUUUGGUCUAGCUUCAAGCCGACCGCUCUUUCUCGAUCCUGUGAUUCGGAAUCUCUUUGUAGGUUAACUCUUAACCGUACGUAGCAUGGCCAUGCAUUUUCGGAUCCGAUCACUCGAGGGGCCCAGAGAUAUCACUCUCAAUCAGAGAGGGGCAAAUCCCAUCUUGAUUGACCAUGUCUCAUAGCAUGCUUCUUGACAAACCCGAAAGCUACCUUUAUAACUACCCUGUUACGGCGUAGCGUUUGAUAGCCCCUAAGUAGGUCGAUCCACAUCUAUAAUACAUGCGACAAUCUCAGGUCUAAGGACAAAACGUAUAUGUUGUUUAAAGAGAGAACUACUUCUCGUGUUGGGUCAGUCCUAGCACAUGUCUCCACAUGUGUCCACAUUAUUAGUUCAACAUCUCCAUGUCCAUGACUUGUGAAACAUAGUCAUCAACUAAUACAUGUGCUAGUCUAAUAUUCAGUGUGUCCUCACAUGAACUCCGACUAGGGACAAUUUUAGAAUAACCAUACAAGUAAAGAGUUUCACAAACAAUUCACAUAAUUGCAAAUCAAUUCAAGUAGCCUUUAAUGGAUAUUCAAUGAACACAAUAUACAAAUCAUGGAUACAAAUGGAAUAUCAUCAUCUCUGUGAUUGUCUCUAGGGCAUACCUCCAACAGUCUCCCACUUGCACUAGAGUCAAUCUAGAAGGUACCUAAUACCCAUAGCUCUUACAUGCGCAUCAUGCUUAGCCUGCGGGAGUGGUUUUGUCAACGGAUCAGAAAUGUUCAGAUUCGUGUGUAUUUUGCAUAUCUUGAUCUCACCCCGGUUAACGAAGUCUCGAAUGAGAUGAAAUCGCCGCAUUACGUGUUUGUUCUUCUGGUGGUUCCUUGGCUCCUUUGCUUGCGCAAUUGCCCCAUUAUUAUCACAGUAGAGAUUCAAUGGGUUGGACGCAUUCGGGAACACACCAAGCUCAAUGAGGAAAUUCCUUAUCCAAACACCUUCCUUCGCGGCUUCCGAAGCCGCGAUGUACUCGGCUUCUGUCGUAGAAUCGGCCACCGUCUCCUGUUAGGAACUCUUCCAACUAACAGCACCACCAUUUAGCGUGAACACAAAUCCUGAUUGUGACUUUGAAUCAUCUCUGUCGGUUUGGAAACUAGCAUCGGUGUAACCUGUUACAACGAGCUCCUCCUCACCUCCAUAAACGAGGAACAUAUCUUUAGUCCUUCUCAAGUACUUAAGAAUGUUUUUCACCGCUGUCCAGUGACUCUCACCUGGAUCAGAUUGGUGUCUGCUUGUCAUACUUAGCGCAUAUGAAACAUCUGGGCGAGUACUUAUCAUUGCAUACAUGAUAGAUCCAAUAGCCGAGGCAUAUGGCACUCUACUCAUGCGAUCCCGCUCAUCAGCAGUCGAAGGACACUGAGUCUUACUGAGAUGUAUGCCAUGUGACAUAGGCAAGAACCCUUUCUUUGCCUCUUCCAUGCUGAACCGCUUCAACACUUUGUCAAUGUAAGUAUCUUGGCUUAAACCUAUAAACCUUCUCGAUCUAUCUGUAUAGAUCUUAAUGCCCAGAAUAUAUGCCGCUUCCCCUAAGUCCUUCAUCGAAAAACUGUUUUUCAAUGAAGUCUUUACGGACUCAAGCAUAGGAAUGUUAUUUCCAAUCAGUAAUAUGUCAUCCACAUAUAAGAUUAGAAAUACUACAGAGCUCCCACUAAUCUUCUUGUAAACACAAGACUCUUCUUCGUUCUUGGUGAAGUCAAACCCUUUGACCACUUCAUCAAAACGAAUGUUCCAACUCCUAGAUGCUUGCUUCAAUCCAUAAAUGGAUCUCUGAAGCUUGCAUACCUUUCCAGCAUUUUUCAGAUCGACAAAACCCUCGGGCUGUAUCAUAUACACGUCCUCAGUUAGGUUUCCAUUCAGGAAAGCUGUCUUGACAUCCAUCUGCCAUAUCUCAUAAUCAAAAUAUGCAGCUAUAGCUAGAAUAAUCCGAAUGGACUUAAGCAUCACUACGGGCGAGAAGGUCUCGUCGUAGUCAACUCCUUGAACUUGUCGAAAACCUUUUGCGACAAGUCGUGCUUUAUAGAUGUGAACAUUUCCAUCCAUGUCCUUUUUCUUCUUAUAGAUCCUCUUGCACUCUAUGGCUUUAACACCAUCAGGCGGGUCAACCAAGUUCCAAACUUGAUUGUCUCCCAUGGACUCUAUUUCGGAUUGCAUGGCAUUCUGCCAUUUUUCGGAGUCUGGGUCCAUCAUUGCUUCUGCAUAUGUCGCAGGCUCAUCAUUGUCCAACAAUAAUAUUUCCCGCAUUUCGCGGAGCCUUGCCGACCUUCGUGGUUGUGGUGGUGCUUCUCUUGCCAUGGGUAUCUCAACUUGUUCUGCUACGUUAGCAUCACUCAUUGAUUCUUGCCCGAUCGGCUCAUCUUGAACUUCUUCAAGAUGCACUGUCUUUCCACUCUUUUCUCCUUUGAGAAACUCUUUCUCUAGGAAAACCCCGUUCCGAGCGACAAACACUUUGCCUUCUGAUCGGUUGUAGAAAUAAUAUCCCAAAGUUUCCUUUGGAUAUCCCACGAAAAUGCACUUAUCCGACUUGGGUGUGAUCUUGUCCGACUGAAGUCGCUUGACAAACACUUCACAUCCCCAAAUCUUUAGAAAAGACAAACUAGGAACCUUUCCAGUCCAUAUCUCAUAUGGUGUCUUAACUACGGAUUUAGAUGGUACCCUAUUAAGUGUGAAAGCUGCUGUUUCUAGAGCGUAUCGCCAAAAUGACAACGGUAGGUCCGACUGGCUCAUCAUUGAUCGAACCAUGUCUAACAAAGUUCGAUUACGUCGCUCGGACACACCGUUUCUCUGAGGUGUUCCGGGCGGCGUAAGUUGUGGAACAAUUCCGCAACUCUUUAGAUGAUUGCUAAACUCGUGGCUCAAAUACUCGCCUCCACGAUCAGAUCGUAAGGCCUUAAUUUUCUUGCCACGCUGAUUUUCAACUUCAUUCUGAAAUUCCUUGAACUUUUCAAAGGUUUCAGACUUGUGCCUCAUCAAGUAGACAUAGCCAUAUCUACUAAAAUCAUCAGUGAAAGUUAUGAAGUAUUGGAAUCCUCCUCUGGCCGUCGUGCUCAUUGGUCCGCAUACAUCACUAUGUACGAGUUCCAACAAGUCUACUGCUCUCUCAGGAAAUCCUGUGAAAGGCGUCUUGGUCAUCUUGCCUAGCAAGCAAGCCUCACAUGUCUCGUAUGAUUCAAAAUCAAACGAAGUUAGAAGUCCAUCAGAAUGGAGCUUCUUCAUGCGCUUUUCACUUAUAUGACCCAAACGACAAUGCCACAAGUAGGUGGGACUCAAAUCAUUAGGCCGAGGCCUUUUAGCACUUACGUUACACACAGGUGAACCAUCAAGAUUUAAAACAAAUAAUCCAUUCACAAUGGGUGCAAAAGCCAUAAACAUAUCAUUCUUAGAGAUCACACAACCAUUGUUUUCACUCGCAAAUGAAUAACCAUCCUUCAUCAAGCAUGAAGGAGACAAAAUGUUUCGACUUAAACUAGGAACGAAAUAACAAUUAUUCAACUCCAUAAUAAAUCCUGACGGGAGGUGGAGUUGCAUCGUCCCGACGGUCAACGCAGCAACUCUUGCAUUAUUGCCCACGCGGAAAUCAACUUCUCCUCUUUCCACGCUUCUACUUUCUUAUCAUUCCCUGCAUCGAAUUGCAAAUAUGAGCAACCGAUCCGGUAUCAAAUACCCAAGAACUAAUAAUUGUAUCAGCGAGAAAAAUGUUGUCUAUAACAUUAACAACAAGCGUACCUGAGGUAGAAGUACUCUUACUUCCGCCAUUUCUUCAACGAAGCUAGGUACUGCUUGCAGUUUCUCUUCCAGUGACCAAGUUCAUGACAGUAAAAGCACUCUUUGUCUGGAGCAGGUCCAGGUCCAGCUUUAACCUUGGGUGCUGGGUUUGGCUUGGACGUUCCAGCCUUGCCCUUCUUCUUCCAAGAAUUGCCCUUCUUCUUAAAGCUAGGCUUGUUCUGUAUAGCCAUCACAUGACUGGUACUAGCGCUUUUCUUGAUGUCAGCCUCUGCUGUUUUAAGCAUGCCACACAGCUCAUUCAGACCCUUCUCCAUCCCAUGCAUAUGGUAGUUCGAGAUGAAGUUACCAUAGCUAGGCGGAAGAGACGAAAGAAUGAAAUCAGUGGCCAACUCUUGGCCUAGUGGGAAGCCCAGCUUCUCCAACCGUUGAGUGUAACCAACCAUCUUGAUUACGUGUGGUUCUACUGCUGCGCCUUCUGCUAGCUUGCUCUCAACAAAGGCCUUAGACACAUUGAACCUUUCAGUCCUGGCCUGUGUUUGGAACAUGUCUCUAAGCGCCAUGAUCAUAUCGUGCGCCUCAUGGUUUGUUUCAAACUGCAUCUGCAGCUCGGGUUCCAUGCAAGCAAGCAUAAGGCAGCUUACUUCGAGGUUAGCAUCACAUGCUUUCUUGUAAGCAUUCUUAGCAGCAGCGGGUGCAUCAUCAGCAGGUUCUUCUGGUAGUGGGUUGUCUAGAACAUCUUCCUUUUUCUCAGCCCUGAGAACAAUUCUCAGGUUACGGAUCCAAUCCGAGUAAUUUGUUCCAUUCAACUUGUCCUUCUCAAGGACCGAACGCAAAGCAAACGGUGUAGCGCUGCUAGGUGUCAUUUAAUCUACAACAAAGUAAUGCAAAAUACACUAAGAAAAAUGUAUCCAUGAUAGAGCAAAUCACAUUAAACUAUUUUAACAGAAUCUACUCCCACUAAAAUCAAUAUCCCUCUAUUGAAACUUAGUGAUUCAGGAUCCACAACUAACAAGUCCACUAGUGAGCUUUAGCAUCACCGCUAGCAAACAAGGUAGAUCGGUAAGCAACUUUUGCUAAUCAUAUCACAUAUGACUCCUGUUGUUGAGUGACAUCUCUAUGUCUCGGCGCCCAACAUUUAUGCCCCAAGGUAUGCGUGUAAGUGUAAGUGUCCGACACAAACCCGUCUAGUCAAGGAAAACUAGUGGUACCCUAAUUUCAUAGACCCACCACUAAUUGUACAAGACAUGGGACGGUGCAAGUUUUAGUUGGGAGGGCAUACUAACUUAAACUUUGUGAGGGAUCGUUCUACUUCUAACAUCACAGCAUGCAGAAAGUAAAACAUAAACAGAAUAGCAUUCACACAGUUGUGACACAGUAUGGCCCGUUUUCAUAUGGCGAUCUCCAUCUCCAUAGAAUCUGUUCACCAUGGUGAUCUCCAUCUCCAUGUUCCAUGUGCACCAUCCUUCUGGUGAUGAGUCCUCCAAGAACUAGAACAUGCUAUUACGCCUAAUAGCUAGUAAGGAAGCUAGUAAUGAAGAUUACAUAGUUGCUUGGAUCAUCACAGAUUGGUACGCAGACCAUUAAAUACAUUAAGGUGACAACACAUAUGGCUCCUGCCGUGUUGCCGUACGCGCGACACGCAGGUCACGAAUGAGUUACACACAUGCAUCACAUACACAAAGGGGUCAUACUGAUCAUAAGAUACAUACAUCCUGCAAAACAGAGUUAGGCGUUCUAACGUUCCAAACUUCAGAGGCCCGAAACUCCAUCUUAGAGGCCGAAUUUGGAAAAUCUAAUUUCGCCGAAACUGACAAAGUCAGUCGUAAUCACGUGUAACUUUUUCUGUAGAUCAAUUUUCAUAUACAAUUCGCCUCAAUCCGAGAUUGUACCGAAAAGUUACGGCUGUUUUACCGAAGCACAUGCACACGGCAAAAUUCCGACCCCGGUAGUAGAUCCCAUCUACUAUUGCACAUCUCAUGCGCCUGGCGUAUGAACCUGGAUUUCGAUUCGACCAAUCAUAUUGAUCUUCGCUCCACUGCAACUGGAUUUACGUGUAUCACUUAACUCCGAUGGCGGAAACCGACCGGUAGGAGUAUGUCGUUACACUACUAUUGCAGCAAGGGCACGAAACCAGGACAUAGAUCAAACGGAAAACUCGCAUAUCUCCAUAUGCACACAUCCCGAAUCCAAAACUAAGCAGCUACGGCUCUGAUACCACUGUUGGGUUACGAGGUAGGCUACACUAGCGCAAAUCAAAAUUUCUACCGCGUAAAACUAGGAAGAACUGCCGUAUAAGGAUCACGGGAUUACCACUCGAUGCACUACUGGUGCGGAAGAUGUAGAUAUGCGUCGAUGCAGUGAAGACGAUCACGUAGUCGUACGUAGUCGAUCAACGUAGUCGUACGUAGUCGAUCACGUCCAGCAGCUCCUCAGCAGCUCGUCCACGUGCAGCAAGAUCGCCUCCGGUACCGCGGCUCGUCGUCGGCUCGUCGUGGCUCGUCGGCGGCUCGUCCAAGUGCUGCAGGCGCAACACCUCCAAGGUAUCCACACGUGCAGGGAGGAAGCGUCGCAAGCUGGACUGCUAGAUCCGCGAGUUGCAACAGGCGAGGGCGUGGGAGGCGCGGCAGGUGUGUUUCGCCAAAAGGUGUAAACCCUAGGGCGCCCCCACCCCUUUAUUUAUAGAGGUUCCUAACGGGCCUCUGGGUCCGAGGCCCAUUAGUACUUCUAAACCUAAUCCAACUCGGAUCAGAUCCGAAUUGGGCUUCCAGCCCCUUAAGUGUGUGACCCUAUGGGUUCGGAUACGUAUAGACAUGGCCCGAGCACUCCUACUCGGCCCAAUAGUCGGUAGCGGCCUCUAGCAAGACGUGCCAACUCCUAUACGCACACGAAGAUCAUAUCAGACGAACCAUCACAACAUAAUAUACAAGUUAUUCCCUUUGCCUCACGAUAUUUGGUCUAGCUUCAAGCCGACCGCUCUUUCUCGAUCCUGUGAUUCGGAAUCUCUUUGUAGGUUAACUCUUAACCGUACGUAGCAUGGCCAUGCAUUUUCGGAUCCGAUCACUCGAGGGGCCCAGAGAUAUCACUCUCAAUCAGAGAGGGGGCAAAUCCCAUCUUGAUUGACCAUGUCUCAUAGCAUGCUUCUUGACAAACCCGAAAGCUACCUUUAUAACUACCCUGUUACGGCGUAGCGUUUGAUAGCCCCUAAGUAGGUCGAUCCACAUCUAUAAUACAUGCGACAAUCUCAGGUCUAAGGACAAAGCGUAUAUGUUGUUUAAAGAGAGAACUACUUCUCGUGUUGGGUCAGUCCUAGCACAUGUCUCCACAUGUGUCCACAUUAUUAGUUCAACAUCUCCAUGUCCAUGACUUGUGAAACAUAGUCAUCAACUAAUACAUGUGCUAGUCUAAUAUUCAUGUGUGUCCUCACAUGAACUCCGACUAGGGACAAUUUUAGAAUAACCAUACAAGUAAAGAGUUUCACAUACAAUUCACAUAAUUGCAAAUCAAUUCAAGUAGCCUUUAAUGGAUAUUCAAUGAACACAAUAUACAAAUCAUGGAUACAAAUGGAAUAUCAUCAUCUCUAUGAUUGCCUCUAGGGCAUACCUCCAACACUCAGGGGCUUGUCGGCUAGGCACCCCUGGGCCCACUAGAAGACUUGUACGGACCCACUCAACGGAACGUACCUGGAACCUACUCGGACAUGAAGACUACUCUGCAGGGCGCAUAGGCUUCAUGGACUCCCCGAAGAUUAUUCGGGUCAAAAGGAAACUACUCUACCGAGUUAGAAUAGAACUUUGUAAACGUACUCGACUAGGACUCAUACACAAUCCGCCCUAUAACCCUGCUCCCCCGACUAUAUAAGGGCGGGCAUGGACCCCUUCCAAACAACGAAGAACAAGAUCAAUACAACCUACACACAUGACGUAGGGUAUUACGCGAUCUAGCGGCCUGAACCUGUCUAAAUCAUGUUCUUUGUGUCACCAUCGACUCCUUGAUUCUUGACAACACCCACCACACAAAAGACCACCUUGGGUACUCCCUAGGCGGGUUGCCGGUCUAAAACACCGACACUCACCAACUAAGAUGGGAGUCAAGUACAAGCAUGAAAGUAAUACUAAAUAUAUAAUCCAACACUCAAUAGGAAAAAGCAACAAAACUCGAUUACUCCAAGAAAAUCCAUAUCACUCAAUCAGCAUUACAUGAUAGACACAUGCUACCUUGAGGCUGACUCCCAAGCCUUGGAGGUCUCACAGACACCAUCGAUCUAAGUACAUUGUGAAAGAUUUCAAAAGCGGUAGUGCCUACUCAUGGUGAUUCAUGGUAAUCAUGACUCUUCAUGUUCCAGAACAUGCUCACGGCUAACAUGGAACAACUACUAAAAGCUACUAUAUUACAACUCUACUUUUAUUCUUGCUCGGUGGCAUCGCUCAAGCACGCUCCUCGGUGUGAGCCUCCUUGUAAGAGAUAAGGCAGCGAUCCUCAGGGGUGUACUCAGGGGUAAACAUCUUCUCAACCAUUGCUUGCGUGGCCUUUACCUCCUCGGUUUCCACAGGGGUGGGCAUGUCCUCGGCUGGACACAAGUGGAGCUUAAGCGUGGUCGAGUACACGGUGAAGUCCUCCUUGCGUAUGGCACACUGAGAUUUGGGUGAAAGCUCGUUGCUUGCCUCCAGGAGCUCAUCCACACAGAGCGAAUCCGCGUCCUUCCAAGUCUUAAGUAAUAUCUUGGACUUGUCUUGGAGGUACAACACAGGACAAGUGAGCACAGCUAUGUUCACCACGUUGUGCUUUUGGUUGGUUUCCUACUCCUUGAUCUUUUCUUGCGUGCGGCCAAGCAGGUGUCCACAAACAGUCAGGAGAUUGUCCUUUCCCUACAUCUGUUGCUUCAGUCAGUCAAGACUCAUGUGAAGCUUCCUCUUAUCCUCCAUGGUGUGAAUCAGUACCUCAUUGAUGUCUGCGCGUUCCUUCUCCACACGGAUCAGGGUAGCGGUGGAAGUGUUGAGAGCACUCUCGAGCUGCUGGAGUCGGCGACGGAGAGUGUAGUUCUCCCUCUCGAGAGCCUGGCACUAAGGAUAGUACUCACGGGCCCUCACGGUGGCCUGGUCGAAGGUGCGGUGGAAGUCCAGUGCCUCAGACUUGAGUCGGUGGACAUGGUUGUCGAAGUCGACUAGGAAAGACCUGGUGGUAGACAUCGUCUUGUCCUCCUCUCGGAGAGGUGCAACCCGCACCUCCUCCUGCUAGUCCUUGAGGUUAGGCAUGCCCCAGUACCCUCGAGGAAGGAGUCAGAAGUUUGUGGACUCAAACUCCUCCCGGUACCGAGCCAACACCUUCGCCAACAGUGUCAGUCAUACAUCUAUGGGCCCACUGGGAGACUUGGACAGUCCUACAUAUGGGGCUAUACACCAAGAUAUGUCAGACAUGGAGACUACGGUGCAGGACGGCAUGGUCUGCGUGGUGGACAAGGACUAGUUGAGGAUUAGGAAACUACUUGUAGCAAUUAGAGUAGGACUCUCUGAUCAAAUCCGACAAGUACUAUUGUACAACAACCGACCUGUAACCCUACCCCCGACAAUAUAAGGCGAGGCAGGGACCCCCUCCAAACAAUCAUCAAUCAAUACAAUCCAACCAACACACAGGACAUAGGGUAUAUGAAGCGUCCCCACAUCAGCGGAGACUAAAUGUGAUGCAAAUAUCAGUCCCAGGAGGCUGAUAACACAUUUAUUCAAUAGAUAGUUCAAAUACUAUACAACUCCCGAGGGAGUGGGCGUGAAAGCCACGCCGCGAUAAGAAGCAAAUAAAUAACAGCAGCGAGCCAAGCGAUUGCCAAAAGACAGCACUCGAGACUACACGGCAGCAGAAGCAUCUUGCGAAGGCCAACUCCACAGGUAGCGUUGGGUGCGGACACAACCUCCUACUCAAACUCCUCGGUGACGAAGUUCGUGUCUGCCUCUGUAAGCAAGGGUGAGUACAGAAGUACUCAAAAAGUCCAACCCCAUCCACGGAGGGGGAUACAACCAAGAGUAUGCACGGAUAUUAACAAGGAUAAGGCUAGGGUUCAUUUGCAACAAAGCUAGAUUUUCAACACAUGCAAGGGUUUAUUUUUUGAAAGAGUUUUCGCAAAGCUUUUCCUUUAGUAACCGAAACAUUGAGUGGGGUUGAUCCUACACAAAGGAUCCAAAUUUUUAUUGCUAUCAGACUCACCGUCCGCCAUAGCCCACGGCACAACUGCCGGACACUUCCAAAACCCAACACACACCAUAAAAACCAUCCAUCUCCAAAUGCUAGUUAUGUGACCAAGCCAUAACUCGUCCAAUGUCGUGGACACGGCUACCCAGAUAGGUCUUAACUCUGCAGAGGUUGUACACUUUUCCCACAAGUAGGGUACUGCAGCACGAUCAUCUUGAUGCCGGUGUGGAUCCUAACAAAGUCAUUACCCACCUUAGCUAAGACUGGCUAGUCCACACGGAAGCGACCAAGGGGUUAACAACCUAUCAACGAGGUCUUAACCGGGACUUAAGUCACAAGGAUCUUACUCCUUUCCAUGGGCUCCCGUUGCUCACCAGCUCACUCGAAGAGUAACAAUUUAGCUAGUGGGAUUUAUGCUAAGCCGUUGCCCAUACAACGAUCGAGUGGUUGCACGAUGGUUGAAUUAGGCAAGAUGACACAUUAACUCGGUCCUUAAUCAUGACAAGAUGGAUAUCUCCCAACCUUGCUCAACCACUAAGGUACGAGCCCAACAUUCUGGCAUUUCACACAAGAAACACCCAUCCAUCUCAUCUAAGCCUUUCUUGCCUUUAUACCCGAAAACCCAUUUUCUCAUUUGAAAACACUCACACAUUUAUUCUCUAAAUAAACCAUUGUAGUCAUGAUUGAAUUUGAGUAACAAGGUCCUAGGCAUUCUAGCAACAAUUAUCAUCUAAACAGAGCAAGUCAUAUUUAGAGAUAAUUAUAGGACAACAAGGAAUAUUCAUAACAAUCAAGGGGGUGGCUAUCCAACCAUGCCUUGCAAUAAAACAAUAUGCACUUUUAUAAAACAGGCCAAUAGGCUGUCUUUGAAAAACUAGGAAUUUAAAUAUGCAUCAAAGGGUGAGAUUGGACUUGCCAUCCUCAAAGCCUUCCGAGAGUUCCUGCUUGUGCUGCUAGUCCUCGGGCUUGGGCUCGCAGUCGAAUUCCUCCUCGUGCUCCUCCUUGGGUACACCGCGAUCUACGGCACACACAAACGAGCACACAAUAAAUAAAAAAAAGAUUUUACCCAUUGAGCUCCGAACAGAAAAUGCAAACGGAAAAUAGGUGGGAUGAGUAUUUUCAUGAAAUUUGGAUAUGCCUCGGUGGAACUAUACUGGAGGAUGAUGUGGUCAAAUUUGUGUUUAAUUGGAGGAAGUUUGGCGCAUGAAAUGACGAGUUAACGGAGUAUUAGGGGCUUAAAUGAAGGUUUAGGACUGACUUGCGAGAAACUAGGGACCUAUCUGUAAAUACUUUUGGGAGGGAACGGCUUCCUACGUAAAAGGGUAGGAGAGAGGUGGGAGGACUUAUUUGGAAUUUAGGGAAAGGUGGGGGUUAGAUCGAAAAGGGGAAGUUUAUCUCUUCUCCUUCGUUCAGGAAUAGAGAGAGAGAGAGAGGGUGGGGAAGAUGGCCGGCGGCGGCCGGCCGUGGCUUUGCCGGCAGCGAGGGGAGACGGCGGGGAGAGGUGGAGGAGGGUGAGGGGAGCCCAUUUUGACCCCUCACCUUGGGCGGGCGGCACCGAGAAGGGGGCGCCGGCGGUGGCUUGGGCGGCGUUCCUGACGGUGGUGGCAGCGGUGACUUGGCGUGAGGGAGGCGGGUGCUGGUGUCCGAGAGAGGGGGUAGGAUGUGGCGGUGGUGGCCGGGGCGUCGCCCUCCCUUUUAUAGGCCGGCGGGGAGGGCGGAGAGCGGCCAGUGAGGUGGGACCGGCAAGCUCCGGCGAGCGCGGGUAGGGGCCGGCGCAGUGGCGGAACGGGGCCGGGGCGAUGCUGAGCAGGCGCGGUGCUGUGCGGUGGGGGGGACGGGCGCUGGGGGCGGCUCUGGGCGGCGUCGCGGCAGGCGCCUACAAUGUUUUGUACAUACAGAUUCACUGCUACAUUCUACUCAAAUAGAUACUGCUUCAAGUCUACGCGUAUUAGGUUCUAAUCCAUAUGAGCUCCUUGUGAGUAAAUCAACAACAUUGUUUACUACUUCUUAUGACCUUUCGUGUUUACCAAUGAUGUUUCGGCAUUGAGCCACUUGAUUACGAGCUUCACUCCAAACUAUAUGAAUGUAUUGUAUUGCUGCAACCAUUGACCUCCACUUCAAAAUCAUCUUGGAUCCAAAUUCCACCAUUUUGUUUUUCAAUUUGUUUCCCUUGAUUUUGUCCUACAUAGCAAUAGCUAUUGAUCGAUAAUUAUGUCAAAAAUAAACACCAUUCCUCGUAUUUCCAACGGAUGCAAUGCCUUCUUUAUACACAUCUUCUUCUACACUUGCAAAGUCAUAUUUUGUUUCAAUUUCCAACGUUCUUCUGCAUAAAACAUCUUCCUUGCUAUUACCAUGUUUGACUACAUGCAAUACCAUCUCACCAACAAAUGCAUGAUUUCCCAUUUGUAUUAUCUCCACUUCUACCUUUUUAUUUGGAGACCCAUCAAUUAUAUUAUCAAAGAUGAAUUUAUUUGAAACAGAAACAAUCCUUCUCCACUUUUGCAUAUAUUAGCAACUGUAAGUGCAAUGACAAAAUAUGUCUUUAGACUGAUCAUGCUACGAUCAUUUUAAGAAGAACAUGUAAGAAAUGAUUAUGGUCAUAACUCAUACCUUUAUAGCUUCACGUAUAUUGAUAUUAACCCUGCUUCCAUAUAUGUCUCUCUGCUCCCUCAAGUUCUUUAGCCUUGCUUUGCUUUCUACUACAUCAAUUCUAAAUAGCAAUACUCUAUCUUUGAGCACAUUUAUAAACCAAGUCCACACCUUGGUCGAUGCAUUUUCAAUACCACUAAGAUCAGAGUCAAUCAAACUAUAACCAUAUACUUGAUAUAGUCUUUCUACUCCAACCAAUCUAGCUUCCCAACCAAACAGAAUAUCAGAGUUAAUAUAGAAUAGUUGACACAUCUUAUCGUGCAUUGAUUCCCAUUCUGCAUAGAUGGUGUCUCUUUCUCUACUGCUAUAAUCGGCAGUACCAAUUCUAUGAAUUUGCACCAGAUGCUCCACUACUUUGUUAUACAAAGAUGCUUUUGCAUCCUCGGUAUUGUUAUUUAAGUCACUACGAAUAUACACAUCUACCAUAUUCUCGAACAUGUUGCCAUCUCUUGGAAACUGAAAAGAAAGACUUAUUUGCCAGUUAUUGCUCUCUAUGCAAGUGCAGCUAAAAUGUGGUUGUGUGCUGUUUAGCAAGCAACCCAACUGCCGCACUACUAACUCCAUUAAUCCUAAUUGUUUCCUGAAAUACAAAAACCCAUGUUCCAAAAAAUUAGAUAUUAAUAUAUUAUCAAUUAAUGAUGAUUAGCCAAUAGUAUUGUACCUCCCAGUAACAUUGAUACAAAUCUUUCCGUACCAAUCAUCAUUCCACUGCAAUGUCUUUCCAAUAUCACUCAUAGGGCACAAUUCUUCUAUUGUCAUUCUACACGGGUCAACAUAAAAAACAUGAAUUAUAGUCAUAAUCUAAUCAAUAUGAGCAUGAACAAGCUAGAGUUGUAAUCAACAAAUACAAACACUAAUAUUGUGUACAUACUUGUCUCAUCUAUAGAUUACCACGGCUAUGUUGCACACUAUAAUACUAUUGACACAAUUCAGGUUAUGUCUUCAAUUUACUUUAGUAACAUAAUAGUGAGUACAUAGUGAGUACAUAGUUAUUUGACAUCGACAAUUUAUUGACAACAUCAACAUACUAUAACAACGUCAAGUCUCACAAAAAGUGUGGUCAUGAUUUACAAUCCCUAAUUAUUUAUACACAUAAUCUAUGGGAAAACUUCAUAUAUCUAUGACCCCUUCAGUUCAAGUAAUGGCGUUUCCUACUUAGUCAACUGCUUUUCCAUUUCUUUAUAGUGAAUAUUCGUGUCCAUUUCUAUAGAGUAAGCAAAACUAUAUAGAUCUAUUCCUAUUUUUGUAUGCAGAGACUAAAUACUGAUAAACUAACAUGUGAAUCACUUGGGUUCCAGUGAAAAUCCUAACACAGUGCCAGCGAACAUUUCACUUUACUACGAGACCCAUGUACCUUUCCUCCCUGUCCUCCUUACUCCAAUAUGUUCGAAAAGAAACAGGGAUCAAUUAGUCGAAUUAGCAUUACAAAUCAGAAACAAUUCCGUCAAAUGUGAAACAAAUCCAAUGACAAUAGCACCUGAUGAGAAUAAACAAAAGUUUGGAACUCAUCCAAUCCUAUUCUACAACAUUGGCAUUUGCUCAACACCAAUCUGAAACUGAAUCUUCAAUUGCAAAACAAGCUUGCAAAGGAUAAAGAUCCUACCAAGUCAACCCAGAAAACUGAUACCAAAUGAUACAGACAUGGCCCGAUCUUCUCAACGUAGGAUCGCUGAACCACAUGUAUUGAUAGAAAGAUAACUAUUGUACUCUCUGAUCUCCAUGGACCAGCAAGCACAAUCUUGAUAAGUUGCCAUCGAACCCUCAACUCCCAGCGGAAAAGCAAGCGCGAUCUUCGGCAGAGCGCCCGAUUCCCCUUUUAUGAUAUGCAUAGGAAGAACAGGCAUGAGACCCUCAUCAUGGACAAGCACAUAGCUAAAUCAAUUCAUAAUUCAAGUCUAAGGUUACAUGGAUGCACAUCCCUAACUUAUAUAGUACCUAAGGGAACCUAAAACCUAGACUCUCAUAAACUUUGGACUCAAUCUGUUGUCAUCUUCUCUUCUGAAUUGUGGCGCAUAUUUAAAGAACCUUGGCUUGGACUCCAUCCAUCACAUGGGAAAUAAAAUUAUAUUUCCAAAGAGUACUCAAACGUCCAAAACAGACUCCAUACGUAGGAGAUAUGGACAUCUUAAUCCAGGGUUGUCACGUUGUGACAUGGCAACCCGAAUUUAAUUCAAAUUUUCCAAUCUUCGAACUCCUUCUUAAUUUCAAACCAAAUCCUUACCAAACUUGACCAAAUAAGUCUUUAAAUCCCUUCUAGAUUUAUGGUAGAGUCGGAUACGAUAAAUAAGGGCUUCUGGAAUAGAGACUCUCCAUGUUUUACAAUCCGUGCUCGUCAACGUGAUAGCCUGCAUAGCCUUCAAUGAAAUUGCCAUAACUCUUGGUACAAAACUCCAAAUCUUGUAAGGUUUGAUCCGUUGGAAAGAAGACUUGAUACCCUUUCUAAAUAUUACCUUUUGAAUCCAUGAAAUCUUCUAUAUUGAUGCGCACAACUCAAGAGCGAUGACUGCCAGAACAAAUGACCCUGUAACUUGCGUUCCUGAUCCUCAUCGUUCUCCCCUUCUUCAAAACGAGUUGUCCUCGACUCUUGCUGAUUGUUGAAGCUUUGGUCGACGACUAAGAUGACGACUAACACACUAUGUUGACUAACCAUGCUGCCGUCCCAACAUGGAUUCAACCACAAACAUGACUUAAAAAAUACAGACUCGAUGACACAACUGAUAACUACAAAUUAGCAUUACAAAUCAGAAACAAUUCCAUCAAAUGUGAAACAAAUCCAAUGACAAUAGCACAUGAUGAGAAUAAACAAAAGUUCAGAACUCAUCCAAUCCUAUUCUAAAACAUCGGUAUUUUCUCAACACCAAUCUAAAACUAAAUCUUCAAUUGCAAAACAAGCUUGCGAAGGAUAAAGAUCCUACCGAGUCAAACCAGAAAACUGAUACCAAAGGAUACGGAGAUGGCCCGAUCUUCUCGACGUAGGAUUGCUGAACAACAUGUAGUGGUAGAAAGAUAACUAUUGUACCCUCUGAUCUCCAUGGACCAGCAAGCACAAUCUUGAUAAGUUGCCAUCGGACCCUCAAUUCCCAGCGGAAAAGUAAGCAUGAUCUUCGGCGGAGUGCCCGAUUCCCCUUCUAUGAUAUGCAUAGGAAGAACAGGCAUGAGACCCUCAUCAUGGAUAAGCACAUAGCUAAAUCAAUUCAUAAUUUGAGUUUAAGGUUACAAGGAUGCACACCCCUAACUUAUAUAGUACCUAAGGGAACCUAAAACCUAAAACCUGGACUCUCAUAAACUUUGGACUCAAUGGGCUGUCAUCUUCUCUUCUAAAUUGCGGUGCAUAUUUAAAGAACCUUGGCUUGGGACUCCAUCUAUCACAUGGGAAAUCAAAUUAGCUUUCCAAAGAGUACUCAAACAUCCAAAACGGACUCCAUACGUAGGAGAUAUGGACAUCUUAAUCCAGGAUUGUCACGCUAUGACGUGGCAAUCCGAAUUUAAUUCCAAUCUUCGAACUCCUUCUUAAUUCCGAACCAAAUUCUUGCCAAACUUGAACAAUGAAGUCUUUAAAUCUCUUCUAGAUUUAUGGUAGAGUUGGAUAUGAUAAAUAAGAGUUUCUAGAUUAGAGACUCUCCACGUUUUAUAAUCCAUGCUCGUCAAAGUGACAACCUGCAUAGCCUUCAAUGAAAUUGCCAUAACUCUUGGUACAAAACUCCAAAUCUUGUAAGGUUUGGUCCAUUGGAAAUAAGACCUGAUACCCUUUCUAAUCUCACCUUUUAAAUCUAUGAAAUCUUUUGUAUUGAUGCGCAUAACUCAAGAGAGAUGACUGCCAGAACAGACGACCCUUUAACUUGCGUUCCUGAUCCUCAUCACGAAUCAAAUCCAACAAGCAUCAUUAGAUAGCUUUUCACUAUCCACUGCGUACCAACCAACUUCCUCUCUCUUAUUGACCGCCACCGCGUGCCUGCCCCUCGCGUGCUGUCCACAGUGACGCUCUGUUUCUAGACCUAGGUUUUCAGAAUGUUAAGUGCCGUCAACGCUAGAUUCUGCACGGAGUGAGUACCCAAACACACGAAAGAAGACGCGGGAAGUCUAAGCUACUGGUGACCUCGUGUUUCUUUGCUACACCAACUACUGGGCUUUUAAAAAUGAAUGGGCUGAUCCCGGCCCAAUAAUGCCCCGAAAACCCAAGGUUUCCUCCGCAAGGUUCGUCCACGGAGGGUGAGUCAGGCCCUAAGAUCAGGCCGAAAGGCGUAGUCGAUGGACAACAGGUCAAUAUUCCUGUACUACCCCUUGUUGGUACAGAGGGACGGAGGAGGCUAGGUUAGCCGAAAGAUGGUUAUAGGUUUAAGGACACAAGGUGACCAUGCUUUUUUAGGGUAAGAAGUGGUAGAGAAAAUGCCUCGAGUCGAGGUCCAAGUACCAAGCGCUGCAGCGCUGAAGUAUGAGCCCCGUGGGCUAGCCAUUGGACAUCUUUGGCACAAUCUAUAUUUUCGUGAAAUGGAUCAUAAUAAAAUAGAGUUUAGGUAUCUAGGGAAGAUUCACUUGGAAGUAACUAUUUCCUAGACACCCAUGCAUGGGGCUUCACGGUUGAAUGAAUCAACUCGAAAAAUCGAUUUUCUUUUACACUUUUGUAUCUCACUCUAUCUUGUUUUUUAGUAUUAUCUAAAAUAACCGAUGAAUUAUGAAUUUUCCAUAACUUAGGUAAGUGCUUUACCAACAUAUGUAGUUUAGUAAAAAAAUAAAUGGAAUUUAACCCCUUCAUGCUUACUAUAACUAGUUAUUUCGGUUUUCUACUAGCUGCUUUAACUAUAACCCUAGCUCUAUUUAUUGGCUUGAACAAGAUACGUCUUAUUUGAAAUGAAUUGAAUGAAUAAGUCAGAAAACAAUAAUCUUUCUUUUGGAUUCCUGGUAUUCUAGACUCUUUUCCACACUAAUUAUCAAUUCUUUUCUUGGUCAUUGAGAUUCGUGAAUAAUUUAGACUAUUAUUUAGAGAUAGAUCGUACCUCUUUUUUUUUAUCCCCUCGAACAAAUCGAAAUGAUUGAAGUUUUUCUAUUUGGAAUCAUCUUAGGCCUAAUUUACGUUGUUGAUUGGAGGAUAUCACACAUACACAAGAUACAGACACACGGAUAAACACAACUUUCAUGCGCAGCACUUGCAUGACAUGACGAAUGCACGACAAGAAGAUUAGCUGCCACGAUAUUUCAUACGUGUCCACCUUUGCCUAUAGGUGUUUGUAACUAAGAAUAUCUUAUAUAAAUAGCUAUCCAAGAUGCAAACUUCC
This 36742-nucleotide long non-coding RNA is filed under the name Setaria viridis. Its description in RNAcentral is "long non-coding RNA (SVIR_LNC004609)". Lineage: Eukaryota; Viridiplantae; Streptophyta; Magnoliopsida; Poales; Poaceae. The record is from RNAcentral.